GCGCUCGCUUCAGCAGCACAUAUACUAUAAAUUGAGAACGAUACAGAGAAGAUUAGCAUGGUCCCUGCGCAAGGAUGACACGCAAAUUCGUGAAGCGUUCCAUAACUUU
This 109-nucleotide small nuclear RNA is filed under the name Tursiops truncatus (common bottlenose dolphin). Lineage: Eukaryota; Metazoa; Chordata; Mammalia; Artiodactyla; Delphinidae. The record is from RNAcentral.